This 27-nucleotide small RNA is filed under the name Bombyx mori (domestic silkworm). RNAcentral's name for it is "ovarian small RNA-24187". Lineage: Eukaryota; Metazoa; Arthropoda; Insecta; Lepidoptera; Bombycidae. The record is from RNAcentral.
UAUUGAAGAAUAAAGUCAGCCACGUGC